CCUACGGGAGGCAGCAGUGGGGAAUUUUGGACAAUGGGCGCAAGCCUGAUCCAGCCAUGCCGCGUGUGGGAAGAAGGCCUUCGGGUUGUAAACCACUUUUGUCAGGGAAGAAACGGCUUUUUCUAAUACAGAGAGCUAAUGACGGUACCUGAAGAAUAAGCACCGGCUAACUACGUGCCAGCAGCCGCGGUAAUACGUAGGGUGCAAGCGUUAAUCGGAAUUACUGGGCGUAAAGCGUGCGCAGGCGGCUUUGCAAGACAGAUGUGAAAUCCCCGGGCUCAACCUGGGAACUGCAUUUGUGACUGCAUGGCUAGAGUACGGUAGAGGGGGAUGGAAUUCCGCGUGUAGCAGUGAAAUGCGUAGAUAUGCGGAGGAACACCGAUGGCGAAGGCAAUCCCCGGACCUGUACUGACGCUCAUGCACGAAAGCGUGGGGAGCAAACAGGAUUAGAUACCCUGGUAGUCCACGCCCUAAACGAUGUCAACUGGUUGUUGGACGGCUUGCUGUUCAGUAACGAAGCUAACGCGUGAAGUUGACCGCCUGGGGAGUACGGCCGCAAGGUUGAAACUCAAAGGAUUGACGGCNGAGAGNGCGACGACGACGACGAGGGAGGAGG
Molecule: ribosomal RNA, 616 nt
Filed under: uncultured bacterium
Lineage: Bacteria
Description: bacterial SSU rRNA
Rfam family: Bacterial small subunit ribosomal RNA
Source: RNAcentral